GUGUCAGCAGCCGCGGUAAUACAGAGGGUGCGAGCGUUAAUCGGAAUUACUGGGCGUAAAGCGUGCGUAGGUGGUUUAGUAAGUCAGAUGUGAAAUCCCCGGGCUCAACCUGGGAACUGCAUUUGAAACUAUUAAGCUAGAGUGUGGUAGAGGGAAGUGGAAUUUCCGGUGUAGCGGUGAAAUGCGUAGAUAUCGGAAGGAACAUCAGUGGCGAAGGCGACUUCCUGGACCAUAACUGACACUGAGGCACGAAAGCGUGGGGAGCAAACAGGAUUAGAUACCCGCGUAGUCC
Molecule: ribosomal RNA, 292 nt
Filed under: uncultured bacterium
Lineage: Bacteria
Description: partial 16S ribosomal RNA
Rfam family: Bacterial small subunit ribosomal RNA
Source: RNAcentral